UGUUUUGAUCCUAGAUAUUGCAUUGCUUGUAAUUAUAAUUAUACAUGCUAGUCUCCACACACCUGUGAGUAGGGCCCACCGGAGCCGGUAUCAGGCACACCCCAUGGGGCAGCCCAAGACGCCAAGCCAUGCCACACCCACACUGGGUCGCAGCAGUAAUAGACACUAAGCAAUGAGCCCAUAACACUUGACUUGGUAAUAAUUACCUUUUUAGGGCCGGUAAACCACGUGCCAGCCACCGCGGUUAUACGAGGGGCCCCAAACAAUGUACUUCGGCGUAAAAUGUGGCUAAAGAAUGGUUAAAAGUAGAGGGCAUAAACCUAAUAAAGUUGUAAAAUACACAGUACACCAGGCAAAUCUUUACCCUCACCAAAUAACUCACAUGACCCCACGAAAACUGGGGCACAAACUAGGAUUAGAUACCCUACUAUGCCCAGUCGUAAACUAUGAUGCACCAACAUCCGCCAGAGAAUUACAACCACCAGCUUGAAACUCAAAGGACUUGACAGUAUCUCAUACACCCCUAGAGGAGCCUGUCCUAUAAUCGAUAACCCACGAUAUACCUCACCCGUCCUAGCACAACUCAGCCUAUAUACCUCCGUCGCCAGUCCGCCUGCUAACAGACACCAAAGCGCAUAUAAUAGUCAACCACUAACACGACAGGUCAAGGUGUAGCUAAUAGACUGGACAGAGAUGGGCUACAUUUUCUAUAUUAAAAAAUACCCACAUACUAUGCAAACUGUACAAAAGGUGGAUUUAGCAGUAAGUGGGACAAGACGAGCUCACCUGAAGCCAACCAUGAGAUGUGU
This 809-nucleotide ribosomal RNA is filed under the name Uroplatus sp. B CMI-2008. Its description in RNAcentral is "partial 12S ribosomal RNA". It matches the Rfam family "Bacterial small subunit ribosomal RNA", at positions 9 to 1384 of the family's 1533-position model. Lineage: Eukaryota; Metazoa; Chordata; Lepidosauria; Squamata; Gekkonidae. The record is from RNAcentral.